This 253-nucleotide ribosomal RNA is filed under the name uncultured bacterium. RNAcentral describes it as "partial 16S ribosomal RNA". It matches the Rfam family "Bacterial small subunit ribosomal RNA", at positions 524 to 776 of the family's 1533-position model. The record is from RNAcentral.
UACGGGGGGGGCAAGCGUUGUUCGGAAUUACUGGGCGUAAAGGGCUCGUAGGCGGCCAACUAAGUCAGAUGUGAAAUCCCCAGGCUCAACCUGGGAACUGCGUCUGAUACUGGAUGGCUUGAAUCCGGGAGAGGGAUGCAGAAUUCCAGGUGUAGCGGUGAAAUGCGUAGAUAUACGGAGGAACACCGAUGGCGAAGGCAGGUCUCUGGGCCACUACUGACGCUGAGAAGCGAAAGCAUGGGGAGCGAACAGG